This 215-nucleotide long non-coding RNA is filed under the name Prunus persica (peach). RNAcentral's name for it is "long non-coding RNA (PPER_LNC008006)". Lineage: Eukaryota; Viridiplantae; Streptophyta; Magnoliopsida; Rosales; Rosaceae. The record is from RNAcentral.
GCAUUUGAUCGAUAUAAGCUGGAUAUGGCUUUUUGUAGGUGGGCCUUUCUCAUCUUCUAGCUUCAAGCUCCAUCAUCUCUCUAAUCAUUCUCUAUAGUACUCCCAUGUCAUUUCAGGCGUUGAUAGGGUGUAGGUUCCGACCUAGUUCUGGCUUAUUGUGUUCAGCCCUAUGUUCCAUUAUGUAUGGUCUGGGCAUGACUUCCUCCCUAUGUUCC